This is a long non-coding RNA of Pantherophis guttatus, 1102 nucleotides long. RefSeq lists it as uncharacterized. Lineage: Eukaryota; Metazoa; Chordata; Lepidosauria; Squamata; Colubridae. The record is from RefSeq and is a predicted model, not a curated record.
UAUUAAAUGCAUUUAUGGAUUACGUUGGUUACAUGAAGCAUUAGAUUGUAAGAAUGUAAGAGACUGUUCCUAUUUAGUAACUUAACAUCGACAAGCAGUUCGUUUAUAAUUGUUCUUUUUUCUCCUUGUCUACUACAGAAUCUUCUGUGUAGCAGUCCAAUGCAUAUUCAAUAUCUCAGAGCGUUUUAAAAUCAUAAUCAUACCUCUUUUGACUCUUAAGAAAAAAUCAAUUAUAGGCCACUGAGGGCUUGUAAUACAUUUUGUCUGUUUUUCUAACUUAGUUGCUUCUAUGCUGAAUUGGUAAACUCCUGUUUUGUUUUGUUUUUGCUCCAGAAUCAAACAGGCUGUUCUUGCUAGCCUGCCAUAUUCUAAAUCAGAUUGUUCUAAUGAAACAAUUGACUAUAAUGGAACAGUUCUUCAUGUCUUUCUGAAAUAAUAUAACACUGGUAUUGAUUAUCUGGUGGCUGGUUUUUUGGAUAUCCAUAUGCAGAUAAAUACUGAAGGAGAUGAAAUGUGGCUGAGAAUGUGCAGAACUAUUGCAAAAUCAUAAAUCAAAAAACGCCUGAACCUUGAGUGGAAGUGGUCCAGAUAAUCAUCAACCUUCUUCAAAAAGGAAAGGUUAGAGAUAGAACAAAAAAUAACCCAAUAUGGUGGAGUCUAGAAAUGGUCUUUUAAGAAGAGGGCAGACUACAGCCUCCUUAAAAGACUGGGGCACUAUCCCCUCUCAUGAGGAAGUAUUAAUCACUCCCAGAAUCCAACCACGUCACCUCCCAGGAAGCUUUCACAAGCCAGGAUGGGCAUGGAUCUAAAACACAAGUGCUUGCACUCAUAUUCAGGAGCAACAGGGCCAAACCAUUCCCAGAUAACUGGGCAAAAAAACUGCCCAGGUACCUUCACAGGAGCAACAACUACUCUGAUAUUUAACUUGGAAUAAAUCCGAACAAAUUUGUCUUCCAGAAAAUUUUGCUUACCUUAAAUCGUACACAGAAUUGUUUCAGAAAGUAUUUUUUACAUUUUUGUGCCAUUCUAUUUUUUAAAAAAAAUUAUUAACUAUAAUAUAUUUCAUAUAUGUUAUCCUAUCAAAUAAAGUCAACUUUUCAUU